AGCAGCCGCGGUAAUUCCAGCUCCAAUAGCGUAUAUUAAAGUUGUUGCAGUUAAAAAGCUCGUAGUUGAAUUUCGGGAUUGACACAUCGGUCGUGCCUUAAGGGGUGUGAACUGGUGUAGUCAAUUUCUCACCUUCUGGAGAACCGCGAUGUCCUUAAUUGGGUGCCGCGAGGAACCAGGACCUUUACUUUGAAAAAAUUAGAGUGUUUAAAGCAGGCAUUUUUGCUUGAAUACAUUAGCAUGGAAUAAUAAAAUAGGACGGCAUGAUUCUAUUUUGUUGGUUUCUAGGAUCACCGUAAUGAUUAAUAGGGAUAGUUGGGGGCAUUAGUAUUCAAUUGUCAGAGGUGAAAUUCUUGGAUUUAUUGAAGACUAACUACUGCGAAAGCAUUUGCCAAGGAUGUUUUCAUUAAUCAAGAACGAAAGUUAGGGGAUCGAAGACGAUCAGGUACCGUCGUAGUCUUAACCAUAAACUAUGCCGACUAGGAAUCAGACGAUGUUAAUUUUUUCAAUGACUCGUUUG
Molecule: ribosomal RNA, 520 nt
Filed under: uncultured Entrophospora
Lineage: Eukaryota; Fungi; Glomeromycota; Glomeromycetes; Entrophosporales; Entrophosporaceae
Description: SSU rRNA
Rfam family: Eukaryotic small subunit ribosomal RNA
Source: RNAcentral